Molecule: transfer RNA, 67 nt
Filed under: Bruchus sp. EMHAU-15071302
Lineage: Eukaryota; Metazoa; Arthropoda; Insecta; Coleoptera; Chrysomelidae
Description: tRNA-Phe
Source: RNAcentral
ACUUAAAUAGCUUAUAUAUUAGAGUAUAGUAUUGAAGAUGCUAGGGAAAUAUGAUUAUUUUUAAGUA